This 465-nucleotide ribosomal RNA is filed under the name uncultured bacterium. Its description in RNAcentral is "partial 16S ribosomal RNA". It matches the Rfam family "Bacterial small subunit ribosomal RNA", at positions 28 to 507 of the family's 1533-position model. The record is from RNAcentral.
GACGAACGCUGGCGGCGUGCUUAACACAUGCCAGUCGUACGGUAAGGCCCUUUCGGGGGUACACGAGUGGCGAACGGGUGAGUAACACGUGAGUAACCUGCCCACAACUUUGGGAUAACGCUAGGAAACUGGUGCUAAUACUGGAUAUGUGCUCCUGCUGCAUGGUGGGGGUUGGAAAGCUCCGGCGGUUGUGGAUGGACUCGCGGCCUAUCAGCUUGUUGGUGGGGUAGUGGCCUACCAAGGCGGCGACGGGUAGCCGGCCUGUGAGGGUGACCGGCCACAUUGGGACUGAGAUACGGCCCAGACUCCUACGGGAGGGAGCAGUGGGGAAGAUUGCCCAAUGGGCGCAAGCCUGGUGCAGCAACGCCGCGUGCGGGAUGACGGCCUUCGGGUUGUAAACCGCUUUCAGCAGGGACGAAGCUUUUUGUGACGGUACCUGCAGAAGAAGCACCGGCUAACUACGUG